GGUGGUUCUCAGGUAAUGCACCCUGGAGUCGGGCUCCUUCCUCUCUGGUUCUGGGUGCAUCAUCCAAGAACUGUA
This is a non-coding RNA of Myotis davidii, 75 nucleotides long. NCBI's taxonomy places the organism in Eukaryota, Metazoa, Chordata, Mammalia, Chiroptera, Vespertilionidae. The record is from Rfam.